UCGCGUCCAAGAUGAUGAUCGCGGAGGAGCUGGCGGGCAGCUGGGACCAGCCCACCCGCACCAUCGUCAUGCACGCCAACGAGGCCAGCCACGUGCAGCGCCUGGCGCUGCAGCUCGCCGACAAGGCCGCAGUGGUGGUCGACCUCAACGAGCGCGCGCUCGCCUACCGCACCGGAGGCCUGCGCGACGCCGAUGACGAGGGCGGAGCCGGCGGCGGCGGCGGCCGCCGCGGCCGCCGCGACGGCGGCCAGUGGGCCGACGACGAGGGCGGCGCGGGCGGCCGCAGCCGCGGCGGGCCGCGGGUGGGCGGGCCGCCACGGGGCAUGGGCGGCCGUGGCGGUGGAGACCGCGGUGACCGCGGCGGCGGCCGCGGUGGUGGUCGUGGUGGCGGCAUGGGCGGCGGCGCGGGCGGCGGCAUGGGCGGCGGCGGCAUGUCGGCCCUGGGCAACCUGCGCGGCGGCCCGCGCGGCGACCGCGACGGCAGCCAGCGGCCGUAGACGACGUGGGUGCGGUGGUGGUGGUGGGCUGUGUCGUGGCGGCGCGUGUGCAGUCGUGGCGGUGUGGUGGGAGCCGAGGGGUGGAGGAUGGUGGGAGCGGGUGGCAAUGAGGAGGAGAUGAGGCAGGGAGGGUGGAGGCGUGUGAAGCAUCGCAGCAGCAUUAGGCAGCGCGUGUGGUUGUGUGAUUGGNNNNNNNNNNNNNNNNNNNNNNNNNNNNNNNNNNNNNNNNNNNNNNNNNNNNNNNNNNNNNNNNNNNNNNNNNNNNNNNNNNNNNNNNNNNNNNNNNNNNGAGGGAGGGGCGAUGAGCGAGGGGGAAUUGCCGGGGUAAUCCACUGGGGACAGGAUAGAAGCAGGUCAGUCAUGGGACAGCGAGUAAGAACAUCAGGCAUUGCAAGGCGAGCGGGGGGCGAGACGGGGGGGUCGUUUCGCCGUUCCCAGUGAAGAACAAGGAACGGGGGUGGGGAUUGGAACUUAUGAGCGGGGCACUGCCCUUGCUCCGGAGCUGGAUCUUACCACCUACACAACCCCACGCACCACACCAUCACGUGCACACUCGCGCCUCCCUUCUCAAACCCCAACCUCCCUCCCUCACCGCCCGCCGCAGGUGCCCAACAUGGCCGCUAACCCGCUCAACCCCAAGAAGAAGAUGAUCUCCAAGCCCUUCCAGCGCAUCUGGGACACCUAUGCGCGCCAGGCCUUCACCGGCCCGCCCGAGAACGUGCGCGACCACGUCAUGGCCGCGAGCAGGGCGCUGGCGCAGGUGGGGAGGGGGGGGGGGCAGAGGGUAGGGGGGGUGGGGGGGAGGAGGGGGGGGGUCCAGGGUGGGGGGGAGGUGGACGGUAAGGGGUUGGGGGGUGGAGCGGCGGAGGAGCGUAAGGAUGGGGUGGGGUGGGUGUUGGACGGUGGGGCGGAGGAUAGGGGUGGGGCCUGGGGAGCGAGGUGGGGGCUGGGAUAGGUGGAUGGGCGUGUGCCGCGCCGGUUGCACGUGCGUCGCCUGGCCCGUACGUGGUCACACGUGGUCACAUGCCGGCCGUCUUCCACUUCCUCAGCCUAUCAUGAAUGUAACUCCCCUCCUCCUUCUCAACCCCCUCGACCACCUCCACCUCCCCUCAGGGCGACUGGUCCAAGUCGUACGGCUACAUCAAGUCGCUGAACGCCUGGAACCUGGUGGGGCGCAAGGAGCAGUUGCUGGGUCUGCUCAAGUUGCGCAUCCAGGAGGAGGCGGUGCGCACCUACUUGCUCAGCUACGCCGGACAGUACGCCUCGCUGUCACUGGACCAGCUGGCAAGCAUGUUCGAGCUGCCAGACCGCCAGAUCUACAGGUGGGGGGUGGGGCGGGGGAGGGGGGUGUAAAUACCAGCCCAAACUACACCAAAACCAACGAAAACGAGCGGAGCACAGGCGGAGGCGUUAUGGAGGGGCAUGGGUUGGUUUGCCUGCUCGACAGGGCUUCACAUUCAGCGGCGGCGAUCGCGACGCGCGGUGGACGUCCGCAGCAUUCCCCCUCCCACAACUCGGCUCAACAGCUCCUCACCCAACUCACCUCCUACUCACCGCAUCCUCCCAACACCACCAACCUCUUGAACCCGCCGCAGCAUCGCGUCCAAGAUGAUGAUCGCGGAGGAGCUGGCGGGCAGCUGGGACCAGCCCACCCGCACCAUCGUCAUGCACGCCAACGAGGCCAGCCACGUGCAGCGCCUGGCGCUGCAGCUCGCCGACAAGGCCGCAGUGGUGGUCGACCUCAACGAGCGCGCGCUCGCCUACCGCACCGGAGGCCUGCGCGACGCCGAUGACGAGGGCGGAGCCGGCGGCGGCGGCGGCCGCCGCGGCCGCCGCGACGGCGGCCAGUGGGCCGACGACGAGGGC
This 2363-nucleotide long non-coding RNA is filed under the name Chlamydomonas reinhardtii. RNAcentral describes it as "long non-coding RNA (CREI_LNC000349)". The record is from RNAcentral. Lineage: Eukaryota; Viridiplantae; Chlorophyta; Chlorophyceae; Chlamydomonadales; Chlamydomonadaceae.